CGUUCGUUAGCGAGUUUUGGGUUACCUCGUGUGCCCUCGACGAGCGCGGCGUCACUCAACAGUACUGCCCGGUCGUGACCUGUCUCCUCCCGGAUUGUCUACGUGUAUCUCGCUAGAGGCUUCGAUCUGGAGCUUCAGGGCUUGGCAUCACGUUGUAGAAAACCGCGGAGGCCCAGAGCGGAGAGUAGAAGUCGGGUCCCACCCGACCCGUCUUGAAACACGGACCAAGGAGUCUAACAUGUGCGCGAGUCGUCGAGUCUAUUACGAAACUCGCGAGGCGCAAUGAAAGUGAAGCGGCCCCGAUGAGGGUGCAUCCGCGAGGGGUGAUCCCGUCUCGAACAGAGCGGGCGCAACCCCUGGGCGUCCGAAUGCUCGCGAGGCCCCGGUCAAACGGUGUGCCGAGUCGGCCGGACGAACCAAGAGCGUACACGUUGGGACCCGAAAGAUGGUGACCUAUGCCUGGCCAGGACGAAGCCAGGGGAAACCCUGGUGGAGGUCCGCAGCGAUUCUGACGUGCAAAUCGAUCGUCGGAGUUGGGUAUAGGGGCGAAAGACUAAUCGAACCAUCUAGUAGCUGGUUCCCCCCGAAGUUUCCCUCAGGAUAGCUGGUGCUCGCAAAGAGAACAAACGGAGUUUCAUCCGGUAAAGCGAAUGAUUAGAGGCCUUGGGGUCGAAACGACCUCAACCUAUUCUCAAACUUUCAAUGGGUGAGAAGCCCGGCCUGCAUUUCUUGAUUGAGGCCGUGGC
This 746-nucleotide non-coding RNA is filed under the name Daphnia magna. RNAcentral's name for it is "Eukaryotic large subunit ribosomal RNA". It matches the Rfam family "Eukaryotic large subunit ribosomal RNA", at positions 439 to 1106 of the family's 3401-position model. Lineage: Eukaryota; Metazoa; Arthropoda; Branchiopoda; Diplostraca; Daphniidae. The record is from Rfam by way of RNAcentral.